This 1214-nucleotide long non-coding RNA is filed under the name Homo sapiens (human). RNAcentral describes it as "HSALNT0408463". Lineage: Eukaryota; Metazoa; Chordata; Mammalia; Primates; Hominidae. The record is from RNAcentral.
GUAGUAUAUAAGAAGCUCUUCUCAAAUGACUCUUGCCCUCUGUGGCCGGGCUGUUUAGCAGCUGGUCUCACUGCUUAGGUUCCUAAAGCCUAGCUGUUACAGCGUCCUUGCUACAGAAAGAGAUCGUUGUCUGACCAGAGACAAAACUUACUUCUGUCUGGUAGCAGAGUACCUACAUUUGGCUUUCCAGAUCUCACCUCAGUUCCAGAUUCCUCUACAUUAAAAUCUUCGCCUGGGUUACAUCUUCUCUCAGGAUUGAAUAUCAACACUAUUGAAGACACCUCAUGUGACAUCACAAACAGCUUUCUUGGACUCUCCAGGGAGGUGGAGCAAGAUGGCUGAAUAGAAGCCUCCAGCAAUUGUCCCCCACUCACAGGAACACCAAAUUGAACAACUAUCCACACACAAAAAAAAGCACCUUCAUACAAAGAAAAAUCAGGCCUGGAACAGAUCAGCCUCCCUGCAGGAAUCAACUGAGAAAGAAUUAAUGACACUUUCGAAAGCUUUAAAUUCCAAUGAGAAAUUGAAGCCCUGGGAAUAUCUGCCUCAACAUUUUAUAGGGUGUAUGCCUGCAGUCAGUGAGAAGCACGAGGAUAUUCCGUUCCUUAUAUGUUCUGAGACAGCUGAUAACAGAAUGAAGGGGGAUUUUCUUAAAGCAUCCAUGACCCUAACAAGGAAACUGGAAGUUGCAUUCUAUUGAUCCAAGGCUAAGAAGGAAUUAAGUUGCCAUCAGAUCAAAUUCCGGCAAAGCGUCUGGAAGAGACAUGGCUUCAAAUCAAUGUUUUGAAAAAGAAAUUAAGAAUAUAUUCUUCAAAAACUUCUCAAGAUGGCCGAAGAGGAACAGCUCCGGUCUACAGCUCCCAGCGUGAGCGACGCAGAAGAAGGGUGAUUUCUGCAUUUCCACCUGAGAUACCGGCUUCAUCUCACUAGGGAGUGCCAGACAGUGGGCGCAGACCUGGUUGAAGAUAAUAUUGAUGAGUCUUAAAAAAAAAUGCCAGCAUUUCUACUCAUGUUUUAACAAAAAUUGGAGAGUCUAGAUUCACCCAUGAAAAGCUCUUCCUUCUCGGCUUCAAGACAUCCUAUAUAAAGGGGAAAGAAACAAACAAAAAGCUACUUCAAAGUUGAAGGAUUUGUGGAGAAUUCUUCAACUUACCCUCUCAGAGUACCUCCUGUACAACUCAAUUUAUAAAAUAAAACCUGUCAGAAAAUUCGAA